Molecule: ribosomal RNA, 253 nt
Filed under: uncultured bacterium
Lineage: Bacteria
Description: partial 16S ribosomal RNA
Rfam family: Bacterial small subunit ribosomal RNA
Source: RNAcentral
UACAGGGGGGGCAGGCGUUGUUCGGAAUUACUGGGCGUAAAGGGUUCGUAGGUGGCCAACUAAGUCAGACGUGAAAUCCCUCAGCUUAACUGGGGAACUGCGUCUGAUACUGGAUGGCUUGAGUGCAGGAGAGGAAUGCGGAAUUCCAGGUGUAGCGGUGAAAUGCGUAGAUAUCUGGAGGAACACCGGUGGCGAAGGCGGCAUUCUGGACUGUAACUGACACUGAGGAACGAAAGCCAGGGGAGCAAACGGG